CAGCAGCCGCGGGAAUACGUAGGUGGCAAGCGUUGUCCGGAAUUAUUGGGCGUAAAGGGCUCGCAGGCGGUUUCUUAAGUCUGAUGUGAAAGCCCCCGGCUCAACCGGGGAGGGUCAUUGGAAACUGGGAAACUUGAGUGCAGAAGAGGAGAGUGGAAUUCCACGUGUAGCGGUGAAAUGCGUAGAGAUGUGGAGGAACACCAGUGGCGAAGGCGACUCUCUGGUCUGUAACUGACGCUGAGACUCGAAAGCGUGGGGAGCAAACAGGAUUAGAUACCCCGGUAGUCCCUGUCUCUUAUAC
RNAcentral lists this ribosomal RNA (301 nucleotides) under uncultured bacterium. Its description in RNAcentral is "partial 16S ribosomal RNA". It matches the Rfam family "Bacterial small subunit ribosomal RNA", at positions 509 to 807 of the family's 1533-position model. The record is from RNAcentral.